Molecule: ribosomal RNA, 861 nt
Filed under: Triticum aestivum (bread wheat)
Lineage: Eukaryota; Viridiplantae; Streptophyta; Magnoliopsida; Poales; Poaceae
Description: partial small subunit ribosomal RNA
Source: RNAcentral
AUGCUCUUCACGUGCAAGCCCACCCCCGCGCACGCCGGCCCCGAAACCUGCCUGCAGAUCUUCUCCAUCGAGGUCACGGAGCUCAGCGGGGGCCUCCAGUGGCCGCUCGAGGUCUAUGGCCUGGUCGCCACCCGAGACUCGGUGGAUCAUAAUCGCAACGUCAUAUUCAGGCGCAGGAGGGACGCCUCUCUAAUCCUCACUCAACAGGAUCCGUUCUUGAAGCUCACAGGCCCGUCCCGCGCCGUCGUGUUCGCCGGCCCCGUCGACAUCGAGGUCCAGCUCAAACUCAAGGGCAGAACCACAGAGCGCGAAGACGACCACCUGAUCUCCAAAGUUUUGACAUAUGGACGUGAUUUCAGCAGUGACAAUUCCACCGAGGCAGGCAACCGCCACCUCGCACGCACCACCUGUUCCGGCAGGCUCUGCUCGCUGGAGGUCACCGCCGCCCCGCUCGCCAGGGCGAUCGAGGCCACCGUCAUCUCCGCUGAGGUCACCCAGGGCCGGUGGCCCAAAACCUUAGGAAUCCGCGUCGUCGUCUCCGGCACGGCCGGUGCAGACGAGGACUUCGUACUGCUUGAUGCUCGAGACGGCGCAUUUCGCGUGGACCUCACCGACGGCAUCAUCGCCCUUACCAGGCAUGUCGUGGUCGUGGAGGAACGCGGGAGGCUGAAACUCUGCAUAGAGGCCUACAGCAAGAGGACCGGAUGCAUGUACGAAAAAUCUGGGGUCACGGAGCUGAUGCCCAAGAGGUCCUCCGCUACCACUGCCGUAUGCAAGCUUGCCUUCUGCACGGUUGAGUUCGUCGUUGGUUGGUCCUGCCUGGUGCCCAAAGUGGGUGAGCUCACGAGGUAUGGUAUCUGA